Molecule: ribosomal RNA, 465 nt
Filed under: uncultured bacterium
Lineage: Bacteria
Description: partial 16S ribosomal RNA
Rfam family: Bacterial small subunit ribosomal RNA
Source: RNAcentral
GAUGAACGCUGGCGGCGUGCUUAACACAUGCAAGUCGAACGGAAAGGCUCCUGCUUGCAGGGGUACUCGAGUGGCGAACGGGUGAGUGACACGUGGGUGAUCUGCCCUGCACUUCGGGAUAAGCCUGGGAAACUGGGUCUAAUACCGGAUAGGACGAUGGUUUGGAUGCCAUUGUGGAAAGUUUUUCGGUGUGGGAUGAGCUCGCGGCCUAUCAGCUUGUUGGUGGGGUAAUGGCCUACCAAGGCGUCGACGGGUAGCCGGCCUGAGAGGGUGUACGGCCACAUUGGGACUGAGAUACGGCCCAGACUCCUACGGGAGGCAGCAGUGGGGAAUAUUGCACAAUGGGCGCAAGCCUGAUGCAGCGACGCCGCGUGGGGGAUGACGGCCUUCGGGUUGUAAACUCCUUUCGCUAGGGACGAAGCGCAAGUGACGGUACCUGGAGAAGAAGCACCGGCUAACUACGUG